Molecule: ribosomal RNA, 440 nt
Filed under: uncultured bacterium
Lineage: Bacteria
Description: partial 16S ribosomal RNA
Rfam family: Bacterial small subunit ribosomal RNA
Source: RNAcentral
CCUACGGGCGGCAGCAGUAGGGAAUAUUGCUCAAUGGGGGAAACCCUGAAGCAGCAACGCCGCGUGGAGGAUGAAGGUUUUCGGUUUGUAAACCUCUUUUGUUAGAGAAGAAAAUGACGGUAUCUAACGAAUAAGCACCGGCUAACUACGUGCCAGCAGCCGCGGUAAUACGGAGGGUGCGAGCGUUAACCGGAAUUACUGGGCGUAAAGCGCGCGUAGGCGGGAGGGCAAGUCAGAGGUGAAAUCCCCGCGCUUAACCUUGGAACUGCCUUUGAAACUGGGAAACUGGAGUGUGUGAGAGGAUAGUGGAAUUCCAGGUGUAGCAGUGAAAUGCGUAGAUAUCAGGAGGAACACCAGUGGCGAAGGCGACUAUCUGGCACGUAACUGACGCUGAGGAGCGAAAGCGUGGGGAGCAAACAGGAUUAGAUACCCGAGUAGUC